Molecule: non-coding RNA, 160 nt
Organism: Ceratotherium simum simum (southern white rhinoceros)
Lineage: Eukaryota; Metazoa; Chordata; Mammalia; Perissodactyla; Rhinocerotidae
Source: RefSeq, a predicted model, not a curated record
GGGCCGGCCCCAAUGGGGGCUCUUUUAAAUCUGCUUUGCUGGAACUUUUUAUAAGGAAUCUCAGUUUGAACUUUAAAAGCCUCUCAAGACCAGGGAAGUCAAGCCAAGGACUUGUCAUCAGACUUCACCUGCAAUACCUACAGACUUGGGUGAAUUCCUC